Molecule: ribosomal RNA, 56 nt
Filed under: uncultured bacterium
Lineage: Bacteria
Description: partial 16S ribosomal RNA
Source: RNAcentral
GACCGUUAAACCCGAAAGGGAGAGAGCCGACCACGGUAGGGUCAGCGACUGGGGUG